Ribosomal RNA from Natranaerobius trueperi, 117 nucleotides. NCBI's taxonomy places the organism in Bacteria, Bacillati, Bacillota, Clostridia, Natranaerobiales, Natranaerobiaceae. The record is from Rfam.
CCCGGUGAAAAUAGCGGAGGGGAUACACCUGUUACCAUGCCGAACACAGCAGUUAAGCCCUCCUGCGCCUAUGGUACUGGGAGCGAAAGCUCCUGGGAGAGUAGGUCUUCGCCGGGC